RNA transcript from Gopherus flavomarginatus (Mexican gopher tortoise), 4008 nucleotides. It is a transcript of the gene named ethanolamine-phosphate cytidylyltransferase-like, with no coding region annotated. NCBI's taxonomy places the organism in Eukaryota, Metazoa, Chordata, Testudines, Testudinidae. The record is from RefSeq and is a predicted model, not a curated record. The transcript has 22 exons.
AGUACAAGCUUUGGCUCUGUAUCCGGAAGCGGCCGGCGUCCUGCAGCUGUCAUGGCGGCUGGCGGGAACCUGAGCCGGACGGAGCGGAAAGCGGCAGCACGAGCCGAGAUUCUGCAGCAGGAGGAGCAGCGGGACCGGCGCAGACAGGUGUCCCGGAUCCUGAAGAAGCCGGUGGCGGAGCGGAACCCUGAGGAGAGCCUGCUCCUGAGCGAGUGUGAGGAUAUCGUGCGGGAGCUGGAGCGGCGGUGCAAGAAGCGCGAAGGGCUGCGCAGGAGGCAGGAGGAGGUUUGUGAUGAACCAGAGGAAUUAAAGAGAAAGGUUAUUGAGCUGGCUGCAGCUGUCCAAAGUGCGAAACACCUGGUCAUCUAUACAGGAGCUGGGAUCAGCACGGCAGCUUCAAUCCCUGACUACAGAGGUCCUAAUGGAGUUUGGACAUUACUGCAGAAAGGGAGGAGUAUCAGGGCUACAGAUCUGAGUGAAGCGGAGCCCACACUCACCCAUAUGAGCAUUGCCUGCUUACACAAGCACAACCUGGUACAGCAUGUGGUGUCUCAGAACUGUGAUGGGCUCCACCUACGGAGUGGGUUACCCCAAGCAGCAAUAUCUGAGCUUCAUGGAAACAUGUACAUAGAGGUCUGUACUUCCUGCACACCCAAUAGAGAAUAUGUGCGAGUGUUUGAUGUGACGGAGCGCACAGCCCUGCACAGACAUCAUACAGGCAGGAUGUGCCAUAAGUGUGGGGCACAGCUGAGAGACACAAUCGUCCAUUUCGGGGAGAAAGGGACCUUGAGGGAACCUCUGAACUGGGAAGCAGCAACAGAGGCUGCGAGCAAAGCAGAUGUGAUUCUGUGUCUGGGUUCCAGCUUAAAGGUUUUGAAAAAGUAUCCACAUCUUUGGUGCAUGAGCAAACCCCCCAGUCGCCGUCCAAAACUCUACAUUGUGAACCUGCAGUGGACUCCAAAGGAUGAUCUUGCUGCCCUGAAACUACAUGGGAAAUGUGAUGAUGUUAUGAGAUUAUUGAUGGAAGAACUUGGUCUGGAGAUCCCAUGCUAUGACAGCUAUGAUAUGGUGCAUUAUGGCCACUCGAAUCAGCUGCGCCAGGCUCGGGCCAUGGGAGACUAUCUCAUUGUGGGAGUCCACACGGAUGAGGAGAUUGCCAAGCACAAAGGACCACCUGUCUUUACCCAGGUGGAGAGGUACAAAAUGGUGCAAGCUAUCAAGUGGGUGGAUGAGAUUGCCGUACAAGCUCCCUACGUCACCACACUGGAAACCCUGGACAAGUAUAAUUGUGACUUCUGUGUGCACGGCAAUGACAUAACACUAACUGUAGACGGCAAGGACACCUAUGAAGAGGUGAAGGCAGCUGGAAGAUACAGGGAAUGUAAUCGCACGCAGGGAGUGUCCACUACUGAUUUGGUUGGUCGCAUGUUGCUCAUGACCAAGGCUCACCACAGCAACAUAGAUGAAGACCUGGAUUACCGGAAGCACAAGGAUAACUUUGGGAAGGGCCCUAAAGGUCACAGCCCCUGGACUGGAGUCUCUCAGUUCCUGCAAACAUCCCAAAAGAUCAUCCAAUUUGCAUCUGGGAAGGAGCCGCAGCCAGGAGACACCAUCAUCUAUGUGGCUGGAGCCUUUGACCUGUUCCAUAUUGGGCACGUGGAUUUCUUGGAGAAAGUGCACCUGCAGGCCGAGAGACCCUACAUCAUUGCUGGGCUGCACUUUGAUCAGGAAGUGAAUCGCUACAAAGGGAAGAACUAUCCCAUCAUGAACAUCCACGAGAGAACUCUUAGCGUCUUGGCAUGCAGGUAUGUGUCCGAGGUGGUGAUUGGCGCCCCGUACGCAGUUACUGCCGAUCUGCUGGAUCAUUUCAAGGUGGAACUUGUGUGUCAUGGGCUGACUGAGGUGGUGCCAGAUAAGGAUGGCUCUGAUCCAUACCAGGAGCCCAAGAGACGUGGCAUUUUCCGGCUGGUGGACAGUGGCAGCAACCUCACUACAGACCUGAUUGUGCAAAGAAUCAUCAAGAACAGGUUGGAGUUUGAAGCCAGGAACCAGAAGAAAGAAGCAAAAGAGCUGGCUGUGCUGGAGGCCAUGAAGAAAAUGGAGGAAGAGGAGCAUGAGAAAGGCCUGCAGAGCUAGGAUGAUUCAGAACAAGUGUGUGGAGGGGGAGAGCACAGCAGUGUUCUCUCUUCUGGAGAAGUGCAUGCCCGCUCCGUGCUGUCCCGCAGCCACUGUUUGGAUGAGACCCAGAUGGUGCUUCCCUGGGUGUCAGAUGCUCUGUGCAGCCUCUGAGCUGAUGCUGGGGUGCAAGCAGCAACCAGGAGAGGCUACGAAUAUGGGCUGAAUGACACUGUACUCUAGUGAGUCCUGCAGCCCUAUCAGUGCACUGCACCGUGGCUGUCCUGUGUGGCUGAUCUUGGGGAGGAUGUAAACUCAGGCCUGUUGAAUUCCUUUGCUGCUGGGAGUUGGCAGUGACAGUCCCAUGUGCAGUGGCCUCAGCUCCAGGAGCCUGUAUGUGCCCCAUGUGCAACCAGCUGUGUGUGCAUGGUCACUGUGUGGGUGCUGCAGCUGGAGCUCAGCCUGGCCCUGCUGUGGUGGAUGACCCGCGUGGCUAGCUCUGAAUGCUUUCAGAACUGUGGGUCCCUCCUGCCCAUAAAUCAUCCUCUGCAGUAGGAGUGUUAUCCUAGUGGCCUGCUCCAUUCCCCUGCCACCUCAGCUGUGUGUGUGUUCCCAGCAAAACAUCCUCUUUCCCUUCUUGUGCUAUGCAGAUUACCCCAGGCAGCUGCAUUUUGGUAGGGAGAGUGGUCCCUGUCAGUGGAGGGUUGGGAGUGGCUUAGGACCCCCUAUAACAACUGGAUCAAUGGCCAGGGAGAACAGACUGUGGUCUCUGCUGAGCCUGCCAGGCAGAAGUGGGGUGGGUGGGAUCCCUCCUGGUCCAUGAUGUUCUCUACAGCCUCCCAGCCCAGAGUGGGGCUUUCUCUCCUGAUCGGUGUUGGUUUCUGCUGCCUCUAGUUCUCCGUGAGUUCAGCUUGUGCUUCCUUUACUGAGUUAGUCAACGCUGGGCAGAGCAGAGCCCUGGGCCUGGGAGAAAGGGGCCCCACAUUGCACUGUGCUUGGCCCACUGCCUAGCCUCCCUUGGGUGGGGGAGGUUGUGGAGGGGCCCCACCCCGCUGCUAAGUGAGCUAAUGAGGCCCUUGGGGCUGUGAUCGGCUGUUGGGGGCUAGGCAAGGGCAUCCUGCUGGUUCCAUCCAUCGAGGAGGACUUUGGGCUUGUUUGUGCUGGGGGCAUAUGUGCCUGCUGGAGAGGGGUUAAGGGCACAGAGCAGUGGUUCUGGGGCUGCUCCUUUGCACAUCUGUGGUGGGGGAGGAGAGGUGGCACUGGGAGAGAGAAGCAGACUGGAGAGCCCCAAGCAGAACGGCAGCUGCAUUGGCCUCAGCAGAUGGCUGUGGUCGGGGGGCAGUUACUGGAGGGUUAGCUAAACGUGGCUGAUGCUUUAUUCUGGACUUUUAUUUUCUCAUUGUUGGUGUCUGAUGCCACCAUAGCUGGCGCUCAUCUCCUAGCUACGUCUGGGUGCCUCUGCAGAUCCAUCAGCUGCUGACUUGUGCCUGCUCUUGCCUCAAGCUGCCAAAAGGGCAAGUUGUGUCUCCUGAGCCACUCUGGGCCUUCCUAGAGCUCAGCGUUCGUCUUGGGGUGGAAGCGUUCCCAUUUACACAUUCGUUCCCUGGCGUGGUGAGACCUGUCAGUUCUCGGCUCCCUCUGCAAAGUCAGACUCAAGAAGAGUUUGUCAUUAAAUACAAACAACCCAACAAAAGUGGCAAUUCUACCCCUGGCUGAAUGUUUCCAUAGAAAGAUGCUGCCUCUGGGCCCAAACAGUUGCAAUGGUUAUUAAAAAUGUCAAUGUUAUUUAAUUUUUGCUCUCCCCAGUGCUUCGGUGCCUGACUGCUUGUGUCACUCAUUUGCUCAGGAACUUCAGCUUCUCUUGAUGAGAUGGAAUAAACAGUGCCUGGCAGA